Molecule: ribosomal RNA, 253 nt
Filed under: uncultured bacterium
Lineage: Bacteria
Description: partial 16S ribosomal RNA
Rfam family: Bacterial small subunit ribosomal RNA
Source: RNAcentral
UACGUAGGGGGCAAGCGUUGUCCGGAUUUAUUGGGCGUAAAGAGCGUGUAGGCGGCUUGGUAGGUCCGCUGUGAAAACUCGAGGCUCAACCUCGAGAUGUCGGCGGAAACCACUUGGCUAGAGUCCGGAAGAGGAGAGUGGAAUUCCUGGUGUAGCGGUGAAAUGCGCAGAUAUCAGGAGGAACACCGAUGGCGAAGGCAGCUCGCUGGGACGGUACUGACGCUGAGGCGCGAAAGCGUGGGGAGCGAACAGG